This 290-nucleotide ribosomal RNA is filed under the name Blastocystis sp. subtype 2. Its description in RNAcentral is "partial small subunit ribosomal RNA". It matches the Rfam family "Eukaryotic small subunit ribosomal RNA", at positions 688 to 954 of the family's 1831-position model. Lineage: Eukaryota; Bigyra; Opalinata; Blastocystidae. The record is from RNAcentral.
GUUGUGAUCGAAUCGAUCGAGAGCAGUACAACCUCCCCCUUCCAAUGGGUGUAUUGGGGUAUUCAUUUACUUCAUUACUCCUUUGGUCGUUUACUGUGAGAAAAUUAAAGUGUUCAAAGCGGGCGUUUGUUUGAAUAGAUUAGCAUGGAAUAAUGAUUGAAGGCUUUCGUGUUCGAUUUGAUUGGUUUGUUCAUGGAAGCAAGGUUAAAAGGAACAGUUGGGGGUAUUCAUAUUCACUAGUUAGAGGUGAAAUUCUCGGAUUUAUGGAAGAUGAACAAGUGCGAAAGCAA